This 253-nucleotide ribosomal RNA is filed under the name uncultured bacterium. RNAcentral describes it as "partial 16S ribosomal RNA". It matches the Rfam family "Bacterial small subunit ribosomal RNA", at positions 524 to 776 of the family's 1533-position model. The record is from RNAcentral.
UACGUAUGGGGCAAGCGUUAUCCGGAUUUACUGGGUGUAAAGGGAGCGUAGGCGGCGGGGCAAGCCUGAUGUGAAAGCCCGGGGCUCAACCCCGGGACUGCAUUGGGAACUGCCCUGCUGGAGUGCCGGGGAGGCAGGCGGAAUUCCUAGUGUAGCGGUGAAAUGCGUAGAUAUUAGGAGGAACACCAGUGGCGAAGGCGGCCUGCUGGACGGUGACUGACGCUGAGGCUCGAAAGCGUGGGGAGCAAACAGG